AGACAUGGAAAAUAUCUGAGAAGAAAGUUUUUAACACCCGAAAAAGGCUUGCACAUAUGAAUGCAUGUCAUAUGCACGUCUAAAUGUAUAUACAUGUAUGUAUGUAAACGUGCAUUUGUCUUAUAGGAGCAAUUACUGGACCAGCGGAGGAUGAAAAGGUGGACACCAAAUACUGACGUUUUAUUUAAGCAACAUUAAAAU
This is a non-coding RNA of Drosophila melanogaster (fruit fly), 201 nucleotides long. The record is from Ensembl. Lineage: Eukaryota; Metazoa; Arthropoda; Insecta; Diptera; Drosophilidae.